AGCGAACGCUGGCGGCAGGCUUAACACAUGCAAGUCGAACGAUAAGCUAGACUUCGGUUUAGUGGACAGUGGCAGACGGGUGAGUAACGCGUGGGAAUCUACCUUUGAGUGGGGAAUAACAAUUAGAAAUGAUUGCUAAUACCGCAUACACCCUCCGGGGGAAAGGCUUCGGCCGCUCUUAGAUGAGCCCGCGUACGAUUAGUUUGUUGGUGAGGUAAAGGCUCACCAAGACUACGAUCGUUAGCUGGUUUGAGAGGAUGAUCAGCCACACUGGGACUGAGACACGGCCCAGACUCCUACGGGAGGCAGCAGUGGGGAAUAUUGGACAAUGGGCGAAAGCCUGAUCCAGCCAUGCCGCGUGAGUGAAGAAGGCCUUAGGGUUGUAAAACUCUUUCGACAGGGAAGAUAAUGACGGUACCUGUAUAAGAAGCUCCGGCUAACUCCGUGCCAGCCGCCGCCGUAACAC
Molecule: ribosomal RNA, 466 nt
Filed under: uncultured bacterium
Lineage: Bacteria
Description: bacterial SSU rRNA
Rfam family: Bacterial small subunit ribosomal RNA
Source: RNAcentral